UGUAGGAAUAAUCCAGUUGUCGAUGUGUGAAUGAACUCAUGUAUAAAAAUCCUGGAAAAGAGUCAACGAACAAUUAAUAGUUGUUACGGUACAAGUGUUUUAAAACUUACAUUAGUUACACAGCCAGUAGUUGACCAUUCCUGCAUAUGCCUGUCUAUUCCAUCAGAACAUCUUGAUACUGCAUGACACCAAGAACAAUUAAACCCAAUGUUCAGUGAUGUACAGUCUUCACAUGUUGUUGCUUUAUUACAAG
Long non-coding RNA from Mytilus californianus (California mussel), 253 nucleotides. RefSeq lists it as uncharacterized. The transcript has 2 exons. Lineage: Eukaryota; Metazoa; Mollusca; Bivalvia; Mytilida; Mytilidae. The record is from RefSeq and is a predicted model, not a curated record.